RNAcentral lists this transfer RNA (43 nucleotides) under Hymenophyllum barbatum. RNAcentral describes it as "partial tRNA-Phe". It matches the Rfam family "tRNA", at positions 1 to 42 of the family's 71-position model. From Rfam's summary of the family: Transfer RNA (tRNA) molecules are approximately 80 nucleotides in length. The record is from RNAcentral. Lineage: Eukaryota; Viridiplantae; Streptophyta; Polypodiopsida; Hymenophyllales; Hymenophyllaceae.
GCCGGGAUAGCUCAGUCGGUAGAGCAGAGGACUGAAAAUCCUC